Equus asinus (donkey) is the source of this 1667-nucleotide long non-coding RNA. Lineage: Eukaryota; Metazoa; Chordata; Mammalia; Perissodactyla; Equidae. The record is from Ensembl.
UCCUGCCUGGGCUGAAUCAAACGCUCUAAAUUUAGCCCAUCUCAUUCGUCCUUGCUUCCUGCCCCUGCUGCCCUCCUUUCAAGGCGAUGAGGUCACCCCGGAACCGCCUGCUCAAGCAGCCAGACCCAGGGGGUUUCCAGGGCCAGGCUGCUCUCCUGCUUUGGGGAACAGGCUAUGAGGGGACCAGGGGUCAUGGGUCCUCUCUCCCUCCUGCCUUGCCCAGCCCCUGGGCUGCUGGGCCCAGAGCUGAAUCUCUAGGAACUUUCUCUCCAGCCUUGGUGGGGAGGCUUCGGAGGGAGGGAGCGGCGAGCUCCCAGGGAGGAAGGCCACACUGGAGCACCAGGGGCCUGGGCGUUUGGAAGAAACACCAAGGCUCAGGGUCACCCAUUCAAACAGGCUGACUGGGUGCCUGCUGUACCUGGGUCCAGCCCGGGGGAGAGCAUGACCCUGCCCUCCCGGCGUGGACAGUCUCGAGGAAGAAGGACAGUCAGCAAGUCAACACGAAAGGACCAAGAUCAUCGUUUUGGUUGUGACCUGCUUUGGUCUCUCAUGCAUCUCUGAGGCCCAGAGAGGGUAUGUGUCUUGUCCAAAGUCAUACAGCACGUCGGAGCUCUGCCUGGAAAGUCUUUUAUAGUGUGUAGUGAAAGGAACUUUGCCACCUGAAAAGUGUCUUUUCAAGAACACCGUGUCUGAGACACUGCCCUCAGCCCAGUCCCCUCAAUCUGCAGGCUGCGCUGUGGGCCCUGCCCAGGCUCCUGUUGGGGUCAGGGUGAGCAGGCCAGACAUGCACAAUCCUUGCGGGAUGAGUGGGGGUCUGCCACGUCUGGAGCCUGGCUCCUCCCCCAUUCUGAAGACAGGUGUUCCAGCUCGUCGGCCCCUCGCCCCCUCCCAAACCGCAACCCUCUCCCCCAUGCCUCUGCCCUGUGUCUCCCAGAAGCCCCUGCUCUCCUGCUCUGCCAAGAAUCCGGGGUUGGCAGGGACUUGUGGGGGGCCUCUGGAAUGUCGCUUUCCGGUGCCAGCACCAGUUUGCCAACCUCGGCAGAGGCCUCGGGGGCGGACGGGGGAUCACUGGAUCUCGUCUGGAAUGGGGCGGCUGGCAGCCACAGGGGCUGUGCCUGCCGCCUCUCAGGUGAGGGACGGCCAGUCCCGGAGCUGCCCCCGGCUCCCUGGACUGCUGGCCUGCUCCCUCGACUUACCGUCCCUCCAGGAGCGGGGAGCUGGGUCCCUAGCAACAGCGUCCCCGUCUCACUCUUCCUGUACCCUCCACGCUUUCAGUGCCUCUCGCUCACACUUGAACCCUGUGGAGUCGGGGAGCUAGCGCUCUGUGUUGUGAUUCCUGUUGACCCUGCAGACACUGAGGGUGAGGAAAAGAGCUUUAGAUGAAGGCCGAUCUGGGUUCAAAUCCCGUCUGGACAGUGACCGCUUCUCUGGGCCUCAGUUUCCUCAUUUACAGCAUGGAGGCUAUCCCGCUGCCGCAAGGGCGUGGUGCGAGCAUGUAACAGGGUGACACCAGGCCGCUCCCGGCCCUGGCCCUUCCAGCUCCUCAUCUGUGGGCUCCCUCCUCCUCUCCCCGCUCCUGCUCAGUUCCCCUGUCCCUGGUCAUGCAGGGGAAGUAGAAAGCUCCUUCCCUCUGCCGGCCAGGGGGAGGGCCCGGGACAGGAGCCGGG